GAAUUCACUAGUGAUUCAGGCCUAACACAUGCAAGUCGAGCGGUAGAGAGAAGCUUGCUUCUCUUGAGAGCGGCGGACGGGUGAGUAAUGCCUAGGAAUCUGCCUGGUAGUGGGGGAUAACGUUCGGAAACGGACGCUAAUACCGCAUACGUCCUACGGGAGAAAGCAGGGGACCUUCGGGCCUUGCGCUAUCAGAUGAGCCUAGGUCGGAUUAGCUAGUUGGUGAGGUAAUGGCUCACCAAGGCGACGAUCCGUAACUGGUCUGAGAGGAUGAUCAGUCACACUGGAACUGAGACACGGUCCAGACUCCUACGGGAGGCAGCAGUGGGGAAUAUUGGACAAUGGGCGAAAGCCU
Molecule: ribosomal RNA, 355 nt
Filed under: uncultured bacterium
Lineage: Bacteria
Description: bacterial SSU rRNA
Rfam family: Bacterial small subunit ribosomal RNA
Source: RNAcentral